This is a non-coding RNA of Cinara cedri, 323 nucleotides long. NCBI's taxonomy places the organism in Eukaryota, Metazoa, Arthropoda, Insecta, Hemiptera, Aphididae. The record is from the annotation of a GenBank genome assembly.
CGCGAUUCAGACUGCGGUGCAAUCAUAAUGUAUGAAUAUAGGACUUUACUUUUAAGUCUUACCCAAUUUAGUGCGUCAUAUACAACCAAAAUCAAACCCGUUUGUAUUAAAAAUGGGUAGCUAGGUAUACACAUAUUCUAUGUCAGCAGGGUGUGUUUGUUUUUUGAAAUUUGUCGCCAUAUCUUUAUAACGAUACGUUUCAACGGUCUUGACUUUAUUCAAAUACGGCGUAGUCUUAUAGGUAUAUAAAUGCUAUUUACAUUUUACAAAGCCGACCUAGUUGCAGAGUAUAGUAUAACUAUAUCGUCAUUUUUCUAAGAGUU